Molecule: non-coding RNA, 1828 nt
Organism: Cricetulus griseus (Chinese hamster)
Lineage: Eukaryota; Metazoa; Chordata; Mammalia; Rodentia; Cricetidae
Source: RefSeq, a predicted model, not a curated record
CCUACGACCAGCGCGGGCAGCGAACAAAGCCCGGAGACUGCGGCGCCGAGCUGAGGCGGGGGCCUCAGCUGGGUGGGUGGCAGGCCGCCUUGGGGGAGGGGAAGGUGGGGCGCCAGGCGCCCUUCCCCCGGCCCCCCAAACUGUCCUCCCACCAGGAAAUGCAGCUGAAAUCAGGUUAAUGUAUAAUCUAGGGACGACGUGCCGGGACUUCCAAGGGACUCGCCGGGAGCGGCAGGGUUCUCUGGAUAGGAGAGGCUACCGGAGCUGGACCUCUCUUUCCCCUUGUUUCGGCCCCACAGCAGGAUUGCUCAGAGCUCCCGCGGCCUUAGGGCCCCGCCAUAGGCUCUAAGGUGGACUAGAGGGACUACGCCCCCUGCCGGUGGCCGGUCUGCGGUGACUGGCCUGAAUUGCGCUCAGACCCGCCUACCAGCCCUCUAGCUUGGUAGGACGGUGGGAUGCUUCUUAUCGACCUAUGGCUACCUUCUCUUGUCUUGCUGCGGAACCUACCACAGCUCCUCCUCCUUCCCCUCCCCCUCUGUGGACCGGCGCUUAUCCAGCUUCGCCUGGCUAGGUACAGGGUACAAACUGAGGCCCAGGAGAGCUAAGCUAGCUCCGGAUCUACAGAAGGUUGAAAGAAAAACAGAAGACAGCUCUGUCUUCACAAUACUGGGAUUGCUGUGCCUGGGCCACAGGCCUUUGAACCAGAAGCUAGAAUAAAGUGUGUGUGGCAGAAGCGUUUCCUCCUGAAAAAGGUACUACCACCAGGACCCUGACAGGCUUCAGGGAAGGGGGUGGUCAGUGAAGGUUUGGUAUCACGUCUAUACAGUGGACACCAACACCCUAGAUCUGGAGUCACCUGACCCAGGUAUGCACAAACACACCAACCAAAAGUGGGGGCUUCUGAGUCUCCACUCAAAUUCUCUUUAAAAGUCUGAAGGUUGAGCCGGUCGGUAGUUGCCCACGUCUUUAAUCCCAGCACUCAGGAGGCAGAGGCAGGUGGAUCUACUGAGUGAGUUCCAGGACAGCCUCCAAAGCUACACAGACUUGGCAACAUAAGGCCUUGUCACAAUGGAUGGACUUGGGUUCUUUCACCUGACCUCAGCAGGAAUGUAGAAGAGAAGGCAACUGAUGGACAUUUCUGAAGGACAAGCACAGGAGGCAGAACUUCUCAUUGGAUCACCUUUUAUUACCAACAUAGGCUAUGGAUAGAGGCCUCAGGCAUAGCAUACCCUCCUUACCCCCCCACCCCGAAGGCGCAAAUUCAUGAACACUAUGCACUGGGGCUUUAGGUCAUACUCCCCCAGUGGCUGUUGGUCCUCCAUGGGCCUUCCCUCAAAGCUCAGCCAGAAUUGGUCCUCCUGUAUGUGCUCCUUCUGGGACACCUGCCUCUUAAGCUCUGCUACGGUCUGUGUCAGCCGGACCUCAUAGAUACUGCUUCGGCCCCGAUCAUUCCGAACCAGGAUGCUCAAAGGGUUGUUGCAAUUCUGUACAAUCAACAUGACAAUGCUGUCAGGGCCCAGGCCCUGGCUGAUGAGGGCAAUGUUCUCUUGUAGCAUGUUGCCACUUUCAUGGGCCAAGCGUUGCUGGAAAGCUGGAACACCAGUCUUGUGGAAAAUCUGCCUCUUCAGUCCCGAUAACGUCAUGGAGUUAGUCAGGGGCACCAGGAACUCGUCACCCCCCAGCAUCUUCACCUUCAGGUUCCAGGUCUGCAGGCAUCACAUGGGUUUAGCAAUGAUUCUCAACCUUCCUAAUGCUGCUACUCUUUAAUACAGUUCCUCAUGUUGUGGUGACCCCCAACCAUAAAAUUAUUUUCAUUGCUACUUCAUAA